Molecule: ribosomal RNA, 666 nt
Filed under: uncultured fungus
Lineage: Eukaryota; Fungi
Description: eukaryotic LSU rRNA
Rfam family: Eukaryotic large subunit ribosomal RNA
Source: RNAcentral
CCCGCUGAACUUAAGCAUAUCAAUAAGCGGAGGAAAAGAAACUAACAAGGAUUCCCCUAGUAACUGCGAGUGAAGCGGGAAAAGCUCAAAUUUAAAAUCUGGCGGUCUCGCGGCCGUCCGAGUUGUAAUCUGGAGAAGCGUUUUCCGCGUCGGACCGUGUACAAGUCUUCUGGAACGGAGCGUCGUAGAGGGUGAGAAUCCCGUCUCUGACACGGACAGCCGAUGCUUCAUGUGAUACGCUCUCGAAGAGUCGAGUUGUUUGGGAAUGCAGCUCAAAAUGGGUGGUAAAUUCCAUCUAAAGCUAAAUAUUGGCGAGAGACCGAUAGCGAACAAGUACCGUGAGGGAAAGAUGAAAAGCACUUUGGAAAGAGAGUUAAACAGUACGUGAAAUUGUUGAAAGGGAAACGUUUGAAGUCAGUCGCGUCGGCCAAGACUCAACCCCGCCUUUUGGCAGGGUGCAAUUCUCGGUCGACGGGUCAGCAUCAAUUUCGAUCGUCGGAUAAAGGUCGAGGGAACGUGGCAUCCUCCGGGGUGUGUUAUAGCCCUCGGUUCCGCAUGCGACGGUCGGGAUUGAGGAACUCAGCACGCCGCAAGGCCGGGUUUUAAACCACGUACGUGCUUAGGAUGCUGGCAAUAUGGCUUUAAUCGACCCGUCUUGAAACACGG